RNAcentral lists this ribosomal RNA (253 nucleotides) under uncultured bacterium. RNAcentral's name for it is "partial 16S ribosomal RNA". It matches the Rfam family "Bacterial small subunit ribosomal RNA", at positions 524 to 776 of the family's 1533-position model. The record is from RNAcentral.
UACGUAGGAUGCAAGCGUUGUCCGGAUUUACUGGGCGUAAAGCGCGCGCAGGCGGCACAUUAAGUCAGGUGUGAAAUAUCCCGGCUCAACCGGGAGGGUGCACUUUAGACUGAUGAGCUUGAGGUCGGUAGAGGGGGGUGGAAUUGCUGGUGUAGCGGUGAAAUGCGUAGAGAUCAGCAGGAACACCCGUGGCGAAGGCGGCCCCCUGGGCCGUACCUGACGCUGAGGAGCGAAAGCAUGGGGAGCGAACAGG